Long non-coding RNA from Peromyscus californicus insignis, 8090 nucleotides. RefSeq lists it as uncharacterized. The record is from RefSeq and is a predicted model, not a curated record. NCBI's taxonomy places the organism in Eukaryota, Metazoa, Chordata, Mammalia, Rodentia, Cricetidae. The transcript is spliced from 4 exons.
UCUAUUAAUUAGACCUAUGGAAAACAAAAAUAUGACAGUCAGGUACCAGAAAGACACUUUUUUAAAAAAAGGACACUUUCAGCAUCAAAGCAGUUUUCUAUGCUAAUGAAGCAAAAGCCAGUAAUAUGCCUAAAUCUUUUGAAGUUUGAAGAUGAAAAUAUCUAGCCAUGUAUUGUUUUCUCAUAUUGAACAAAAGACACCAAAAGCAAAAACCUUAAUAUUUUUAAAGUUAAAAACGAGGCAGAGGCAGGCAGAUCCCUAUGAACUCCAGACCAGCCUAGUCUACACAGUAAGUUCCAUGCCAGCCAAGGCUACACAGUGAGACCUUGUAUACAAACAGACAUGUAAGGGAGCAUGAGGACCCCCCAGAAAUCCUAUCUUUAAAAAGCUGGACAUGGGGUGCUCAUGUCUGCACCCGUGAGACUUGUGGUGAGCCAGCCAGCUAGCCUACUUGUGAAAUCCCAAAACAAAUCUCAAAACAAAGUAGACAGCAGCCAAGGAACAAUGCCCGCCCAAGGCUGACCUCUGGUCUCCACAUGCACCAAACACACAAGCCUCUGUACACAAACGAACAUAUACACACAAAAACUUUUCAUCCUACAGGGAAAACACAUACCAAUACAAACAACAAAAGUAAAUAAAGCAGCAACUUAAACUAAAAGUCACUAAUUUGAGUGCAAAGCAUUAACAGCCUUUUGAAUGAUUUGAUAUUAAGGAAUUGUUGCUCAUUUUUAAAGUGUGCUAAAAUGUUUUCUUUCCUUUUCCAAAUUUACUUUGGGGUUUAAAAAAAUCAUUUUAUGUGUAUAUGUAUGUGGACUACAUACAUGCCUGUGGAGCCUGUGGAGGUCAGAUAGAUGAAGUACCUGUGAAUGCUGGGAAGCCAACCAGGGUCAUCUGCAAGGGCACUAAGUGUUUAACUGCUGAGCCAUCUCUCUAGCCCUCUACUUUGGGCUUUUGAAACAGGGUUCAGCCAUAUAGUUGAGAGAGCCCGGAAUUCUCUCUAUGUAGCCCAGUCUAACCUCAGACUCAGAACCCUACUUCAGCCUCCUGAACACAGGAUUACAUGUGUGAGCCACCACAUCGGGCUAAGAACCCUUAUCCUUUAGAUGAAGGUACUGAUGUAUCUACAGAUGAACCUUCAAAACCAACGAGGAGGGGAUGAAAGCUACAGAAAAUACAAAACCGGCUGUGUUAACUACCGAAGCCGGGCCAUAGAGUCUCAUUUUGUUAUUUGCUUGAAACUUUCCACAGAAAAAAAUUUAUUAGGCCUGGAGAAUGGCUUAGUAGUCAAGAGCAUUCCUACAGAGGACCCAUGUUCGAUUCACAGUUCCUACAUGGCGGCUAACAACCCUUUGUAACUAACUCCAGUUCCAGGGGACUCUGCCCUUUUUCCGGGUCUCCAUGGGCACUGCACACACUCGGUGCACAAACAUACACGCAAGCAAAAGACUAAAUAUACAUUAAUUAAAAAAAAAUCUUCUAAAAUAAAAAAAAAAUUCUAUUAGAAAAUCUGCUCGGUUUGGUGACCUUAAAUAAGUCUUUAAUCCUAGCACUUGGGAGGCAGAGGCAAGCAGGUCUCUGUGAAUUCCAGGCCAGCCAGGAUAUAUAGUGAGACCUUGUCUCAAAAAACAGGAAACAAACUUUAUUAGGUUGUAUAGAAAUCACACCAAUAGUUUGACUGGCAUUUUUUUCUUUUCUUGAAUUAUUGGGGAAACAAUGGUUUUGUAGUCAGAAUACAUCUUUUAUUGUUCACCAUGUACCUAAGGGAAAAAGAAGCAGUGAAUUUAUUUGGGAAAAAAGUAUCUAUCUUUAUAUCAUAAUUUUUUUCCCCUUCCGUUAAAAAAUUUUGUUUAGGGGCUGGAGAGAUGGCUCUGCAGUUAAGAGCACUGACUGCUCUUCCAGAGGACCCAGAUUCAGCUCCCAGCACCCACAUGGCAGUUCGCAACUGUCUGUAACUCCAGUUCCAGGGAAUCUGACACCUUCACACAGAUACACAUGCAGGCAAAACACCAAUGAACAUUUUAAAAAAAAAAAAAAAAAAAAAAAAAAGGCAGGGUGGUGGUGGCAUACGCCUUUAAUCCCAGCAGAUCUCUAUGAGUUUGAGACCUGUCUGGUCUACAGAGCAAGAUCCAGGACAGGCACCAAAACUACACACAGAAACCCUGUCUCGAAAAACCAAAACAACAAACAAACAAAACACUAAAAAUAACACAUGCUCAUUGUAAGAGUUUAAACAGAGUAAAAACACACCUUGAAUGGCACACCUCUUCUCAGGUGAUCAUCUAAGCAUUCUGGAUCAUAUAACCUUCACAUCUGUCUAUGCUCACACAUGGUCCGUAAUACUGAGUACUAAUAUGCCAGCCAUCUAUUUUGGCUUUUAUGUUUUUCUAACUCAAAUGGUAUCAUAGUAUGUAGACCUCUCUGUAACCUGUUCCUUCAACAUUGAUGGGCAGUGAAAUUAUUAAUGUAGUGAGUUACCUUGGGGUAGGAGAGGGAAACAUUAAAAUCUUAGAGGUGCUUAACAUUACAAAACUAAAAUCCAACUUAAAGGUGGACACAACAUAUACCACUAAUCAAAGGCUGAAACAGGAGGAUUUUGAGUUCAAGGCCAGCCUAGGUUACACAGAGAGUUCCAGGUGAGUCAGGGAUACACACACACACACACACACACACACACACACACACACAGAGAGAGAAAGAGAGAGAGAGAGAGAGAGAGAGAGAGAGAGAGAGAGAGAGAGAGAGAGAAACCCUGUUCUUUGUUUUAGUGUGUGUGUGUGUGUGUAUAUAUGUGUAUUUUAAAGAAGUAUAAAAAAGACAGUUUUCUGCCGGGUGGUGGUGGUGCAUGCCUUUAAUCCCAGCACUCAGGAGGUAGAGGCAGUGGCAGGCGGAUCUUUGUGAUCUCGAGGCCUGCCUGGUCUAUAGCGUGAGUUCCAGGACAGCUAGGACUGCUUCACAGAGAAACCUUGUCUCUAAAAAUAAAAAAUAAAUAAAUAAUGCAGUUUUCUGACUUUAGUCUCAAAUUUUAAUCUGUAUACAUAAAACUUUGUAAUCUACUCUCUAUUAGGAAAAAAAACCCACAUUCCUAUACUGUUUACUGAGAAAACAAAAGACAACCUUAACAAGCUGUUCAGUGAACUAAAAUGUUCAUUCUUUUCUCUCUUUCUUUUUCUUAAAGACAGGGUCCCUCUAUUCAGCCCUGGCUGUUCUGGCACUUGCUCUGUAGACCAGCCUGGCCUUGAACUCACAGAGAUUCUUACUUCUCCCUUCAGAGUGCUGAGACUAAAGGGGUGAGCCACAUUCUGCCAAAUUGUAGUACUAUUAAAACAUUUCUAUCUCGGCAGUAGUUAUCAAGAGAGUACUGAGUACAUUCAUCUCUCCUUACUUCCAUCUGUCCUCACAGAUCGACUCUAGGUCACACACCCUGUCGCUCCAUGCUAUCCUGCUACAUGCAGUCUCAUACUACCUCCCUAUUUCCCUACCUAAAUGUCAACAGAGUUCCCUAGGAAGAGAUGGGGCCUGUGGAGUGGAGAAGCCACUGUGUCUCCUGGAAGCCAAAUCAAGUGUUUCAAGAAGGUAAUAAAUUUCAAACCUGCGUCACGGAUGUCUACAGCUAAACUGAGGGAGGAUAUGCCUAAAUAUAAAAGCAAUGGAUGUUCAAAGACAUCAUUCAUGUUACUCCUAAGAGUUAACUACACUAAGGUUAAUCUACUAGCCUUUAGAAAUAUAUUGAUGAAAAGGCCUGGAGAGAUGGUCUAGCAAUUAAGAGCACUUGUCACUCUUAUUAGAAGACCCAGGUUCAAUUCCCAGCACCUACAUGGUGACUCCCAACCAUCCAUAACUCCAGUUCCAUGGUAUCCAAUGCUCUCUUCUGUCCUCCAAGAGCAUCAGGAACGCAUGUGCCACACAGACACACAUGUGGGCAACACACUCAUACUCAUAAAAUUAAGUAAAUCUUAAAGAUAAAUAUAUUCAUAUGUGAAGGCAGAAAAUGCAGGUGCAGAAACAAAAUUUUUACAAUUAAAAUUCUAUAAAACAAAUCUACACGAUAAUACAACUGAAUGCAAGAGGUUAAAAAGUACACAAAAACCGUGACCCAAGCCCACUUUAAGUAGGGGGAGAUUUGGAGGUAACCAGUCAUCCUACUGUAUGAUUCACAGAAACUUUUAAUGAAAAAGAGAAAGAAGCAAAGAGGGCCGAUAGCUCUAAAAAAAGACUUUCUAGAACUAACAGUUGUUAGAAACUGAAACAAACCUGAGCAGAACCUAGCGAUGCCCACACACAGUGGGGCAGAAACCAGUGAGGCAGGGCAGAGAGCUGGGUCCCCGUCCUGCUCUCCCAACCUGCAAUCUGUUUACGAUCGAUCAUUCGCCCCAGCAUUAAGGUGGGAAUAACGACUCAAAUAACAGACACAAGGAAUCACACAGCCGAUGUGUAAAAUGUGGGGUUUGCCAUGUGAUAGUAAGGGGAACAACACUGGCUGCGGCUGUAAUGGUGGCAUGUUUAUUUGAGCACCAGGAAGUAAAUCUAACUAGGUAAUUUUAAGCUUCCUUCCAAGUAAGCUCCAAAUGAUGGUCAAAAAAUUCCAAGACCCCUUCUUAUCUAAAAUGAAAAACAGUGAUUCGGCCACUAACUAAAGUCAACUCCACACAUUCAAUGAGUUAAAAUCCGUAUUUUACAUGAACCUAACCAAGCGCUACACCAAUUAGGACAGCCUCUAAAGCGCAUGGAUGCACAUUCUUUCAUUCAAUACAUCGUCAGUGUAUACUGGACUGAGCCCAGCGACGGAAGGCAGAGCUGUCCCCAAAGCCCAAGGACACCUGGAGAGGGUUUCUUCCCUAGACCAGUCACUUCACUCAGCAUGAAGUCAGGAAGUGUCUGCUCCACAGAAGGCAUCACGCCGUGCUGGAGAAUAAGCACUGUGUCCAAAUGGCGGAUGUAAACCCCACUGCCUCUGUGUCACAUCCUUCCGUCUUCCCAUCCUACUGGGAGAUGCUGAACAAGGGCUAAGGCAGUUCUCAGUGCUACCCUACAGUCUCCAGGCAGACCUACGAUUCCAGUUUAAGCAAUGUUAGCAUUUAUUAUACAACUUUAUCUUCUACUGGAUAAAGAUGAUUUUACCCAGAUAGUGGAGGGGAAGGAGGAUCUAAGUUCCUGAAAGACUUUUAGCUUAUCUCUUUAAGGUUAAGUUUUGCACUACACUUGUGUAAAGCAGCUGGGUGUGGUAGCACAUUCCUUUAAUCCAAGCACUAGGGAGGCAGAGAAAGGAGGAUCCCUGCAUUUCAGGCCACCCUGAUCUACAGAGUAAGUUCCAGGGUAGCCAGAGCAACACAGAGAAACUGCUGUCUCAAACCCCUAAUUCUGUCUCCCCUCUAAAAAAAAUAGUAUAAAGCAUUUACUUUUAUUAAACAAUUUCACUCAAAUUCCAAAAAGUUUGCUUUCUUUUCAAUUUUUUAUUUCUAAUUUAAAAAACUGUUGGGACCAGGGAGAAGGCUCAGUAGUUAAGAUCACUAGUGUUUGGUCUUGCAGAGGACCCCGGUUCAGUUCCUAGCACUCACAUGGAGGCUCAUACUUGUCUGUCUCUAACUCCAGUCCCAGGGGAUCUGAUGCCCUCUUCAGACCUCAGCCGGCACACGCGUGGUGUACAAACUUACACAGAGAGAAAACACUCAUACACACAAAAUAAUAAAAUAAACAGAUCGAAAAGAAAUGUUCCUGGGUGUGGCUUUAAUCCCAGCACUAGGAGGCAGAUGGGGAAAUUGGUGAAUUCCAGACCAAUCGUGGCUGCACAGUUGAGACCUAGACUCAAAACAAACAAAAAUGUCACCAAAAUUUAGUAAGCUUUAUAUUACGUAGCUUAUCAAGAAGUUUAUUUCCAUAAACAGAGUCCCUCUAUUUCACCUGCUCUGGUUUGAGAUUAAAAUCUGUGACCAUGUUUGUUUGUGUUACCAGCUAUCACCGGAAGAUCACAUUCAUCACAGCUGGCAGUUGGUCUGGGACAGAAAGCAAAACCUUCUAGUUGCAUUCGAAGGUCUACACCCAGGAAAGUACUCCAGCAAUAAGGAGGCACCAAUCCAGUACAUCUUACACCAUAACUACAAAUUACUUUGAAAGUGCUUACCAGUUUAUGUUAAAAGUAAAAAAUGGUCACGAAACACACCAACUGUAUUAAGCAAUUCAAACAGUCAUAAACCUAUAGAGCAUAGAUCUUAGGAGUCCAAGAGUCUUAUUUCAUAAAAAGCAAACUUUUAUGAUGAUUAAACAUUAUAUCAACAUCUAGCUAACUGUGAAACCCAGGUACUGGGACUACAGACAAGAACUCCUAUGUACCUCAGAUGGUACUAAAACUUCCUCGGCACAAUCUAGUGUGGUCUUCUGCAAAGACCAUCAACUAAGAACUGGUUUCAGGUCCUGAAUUCAGGUACUAUCCUGUAAGUGAUGAGCCUCAUCUGAAUGAUAGCUGUAAUGUGGUUUUAUCUGUCUUUAUUGAUAUGUUCCCUAAGUAUACUAUGUGGCUUUUUUUUUUCUUUUUUCUUUUAAAGACAGGGUCUCUUGUAGGCUAGCCUGGCCUCGAUUUGUAGUAGAGGAAGUCCUUGAACUUCUGAUCCUCCUCCUUCUACCUUCCAAGUUCUGGAAUUACAGGCCUGCACCACCAUACCUGGUUUACUAAGUGCUUGGGACCGAACCCAGGGCUUCCUGAAUGCUAGGACAAUGAAUAAUAAAUGUUACAACAAGUAACAUGAAUGAACCACUGCUGCAGUUCCAACUGGAUCCCAGACAAGGAAUUCAUCCACACUGGAGGAAAAAUGGGGACUUUUGAACGCUCUUUUCUCUCCAGUACAAGAGGAAAGGUACUCUAUGCCUCCAUUUUUAACCCCUAUCCUAGAGGCAGUAUAGCCUUCUCCUGAACACCAGAGGGCACUGUAGGUGCCUCUGAUCUAAAGCUGGUCCCCCUUGGCACAUGGCAUUUGUGUUGUUAGGGUUUGGGGCGCAGGACUCUAGUUAUUCCAAAGUAUUCCCUCUGUGCACUCACACUGUCUGCUGUAAUUGUGAGCAGCUCGACACAGGCCAUUGGCCUACUCUUCAUUUGAGAACUUUAUUCAGUAAGUGCUGCUGAGUAUCUUGCAGGCAGGCAGCUCUUCCCACAGAGAUCAGUCAGUUUCCUUCUUAUAAAGUGUACUGCUUCCAGUUCUGCAGCUCAAGCCGGUUCUGUUUAGUUCUAACCAAAAUCGUGUAAACUCUAAUUUUUUUUUUUCUUGGAGACAGGGACUAUCUAUUAGAUCAGGCUGUCCUCCAGAGAUCUGCCUGCUUCUGCCUCCUGAGUGCUGGAAUUAAAGAGGAACCCACACCACACAAAAAGGCACAGGGACAUCUUGGCAGUGGUUUUAGAGGCAAGUCUACCCACUCCUUCCCAAUGUUCCACCUAUUUCUUUAGGAGGAAGGAACCGCACGCAGCUCCUAAUGCCACUCAGUAUUACUGAGACUUCAGGAGAUAACAGCAAGUGAUUAAAAGGGAAGUUUUACACUUCUGGGCAACCGACCAGCCAUCAUUCAGGCCUCAGACUCCUGCACCUCCACCUUCUCCAUUUCUCCAGAUCACAUCCACUUGAGGUGACCAAGUUCCAGAGAAUCUAUUUUACACUUUUUAAAACCAUGAUUGCUUUAAAGUUACCAUAAGAACUACAUGGCUUCCCCAAAUCUGCUUCAGGGUGCCUCGAACUUCAGCUCAAGAAAUUCAUUCUAAGUGGUCUUCAGAACACAAAACCAGGCUUGGUGGCUCAUGCCUAUCUCCCUAGAAUUUAGGAUUCCCUAAGGCAGGAGAAUUACAUCCAAGCGAUCCUGGGGCUACCUUGCCAAACCAAACCUUGUCUCAGGAAAGAAAGAGAAAAAAAAAAAUUGCUCGGAACGCUUUGUGGAUUCCAGUGUCAAAGGGAAAGAUGUUGCCGCAGCGGUACAUACUGUACGGAAAUACAUUCUGAUCCGUGGAGAAUCUACGUGUACCUUCACAGCCACACUCGAUUCCGGAACACGAUCACACACACACAAAACACCCCAGUCCCCGAAAACAAGGACUUUCAUUAACCUGUUCC